RNAcentral lists this long non-coding RNA (320 nucleotides) under Gallus gallus (chicken). The record is from RNAcentral. Lineage: Eukaryota; Metazoa; Chordata; Aves; Galliformes; Phasianidae.
UGCCUACUCGUAGCCCUUCCCUGUAUGCAAGCCCAUCAGGAAGAACAUCACUUACAAAUAUGUGUGUGAGAUGCUGAUUUUCAUCAACUUGAGCUGUGACAGCAAAACCAAAAUCUGUUAUAUUUUCAGUCUUUGUAAGAUGAAUGUGAUAAACAUUUAAUGGGCAGAUUUCUAUUUCAUCAUACACCUGGUCUACUAUAUAUUCGUAUGGUUCAGGAGCACAGUAUUCAGUAUUUUCAUCAACCAAUCUUCUGAGUUGUAGACCGUAGUUCCUUGGCUCCAGUUGUUUCAUCUUGCAUGCCAGAGACAGAACAUCUUCC